GACGAACGCUGGCGGCGUGCUUAACACAUGCAAGUCGAACGGAAAGUCCCUGCUUUUGUGGGGUGCUCGAGUGGCGAACGGGUGAGUAACACGUGGGUAACCUGCCCUUGACUUUAGGAUAACUUCAGGAAACUGGGGCUAAUACCGGAUAGGAGCUCCUGCUGCAGGGUGGGGGUUGGAAAGUUUCGGCGUUUGGGGAUGGACGCGCGGCUUAUAAGCUGGUUGGUGGGGUAGUGGCUUACCAAGGCUGUGACGGGUAGCCGGCCUGAGAGGGUGACCGGCGACACUGGGACUCAGAUACGGGCCCGAGUCCCCUGGGAGGCAGAAGUGGGGAAUAUUGCACGAUGGGCGGAAGCGUGAUGCAGAGAAGCAGCGUGCGGGAGAAGGGGGUUCGGGUUGUAAACCCCUUUUGCCUGAGGCGAAGAGAGAGUGACGGUAAUGGGUAAAGCAGCACCGGCUAACUACGUG
Molecule: ribosomal RNA, 468 nt
Filed under: uncultured bacterium
Lineage: Bacteria
Description: partial 16S ribosomal RNA
Rfam family: Bacterial small subunit ribosomal RNA
Source: RNAcentral